AUUGAACGCUGGCGGCAGGCCUAACACAUGCAAGUCGAGCGGCAGCGGGAAGUAGCUUGCUACUUUACCGGCGAGCGGCGGACGGGUGAGUAAUGUCUGGGAAACUGCCUGAUGGAGGGGGAUAACUACUGGAAACGGUAGCUAAUACCGCAUAACGUCGCAAGACCAAAGAGGGGGACCUUCGGGCCUCUUGCCAUCAGAUGUGCCCGGAUGGGAUUAGCUAGUAGGUGGGGUAACGGCUCACCUAGGCGACGAUCCCUAGCUGGUCUGAGAGGAUGACGAGCCACACUGGAACUGAGACACGGUCCAGACUCCUACGGGAGGCAGCAGUGGGGAAUAUUGCACAAUGGGCGCAAGCCUGAUGCAGCCAUGCCGCGUGUAUGAAGAAGGCCUUCGGGUUGUAAAGUACUUUCAGCGAGGAGGAAGGCGGUGAGGUUAAUAACCUCACCGAUUGACGUUACUCGCAGAAGAAGCACCGGCUAACUCCGUGCCAGCCGCCGCCGUAA
This 506-nucleotide ribosomal RNA is filed under the name uncultured bacterium. Its description in RNAcentral is "partial 16S ribosomal RNA". It matches the Rfam family "Bacterial small subunit ribosomal RNA", at positions 30 to 523 of the family's 1533-position model. The record is from RNAcentral.